GAUGAAGAACGUAGCGAGAUGCGAUAAGUAGUGUGAAUUGCAGAAUUCAGUGAAUCAUCGAAUCUUUGAACGCACAUUGCGCCCCUUGGUAUUCCAUGGGGCAUGCCUGUUCGAGCGUCAUUUGUACCUUCAAGCUCUGCUUGGUGUUGGGUGUUUGUCUCGCCUCUGCGUGUAGACUCGCCUCAAAACAAUUGGCAGCCGGCGUAUUGAUUUCGGAGCGCAGUACAUCUCGCGCUUUGCACUCAUAACGACGACGUCCAAAAGUACAUUUUUACACUCUUGACCUCGGAUCAGGUAGGGAUACCCGCUGAACUUAAGCAUAUCAAUAAGCGGAGGA
RNAcentral lists this unclassified non-coding RNA (337 nucleotides) under soil metagenome. RNAcentral describes it as "partial contains 5.8S ribosomal RNA, internal transcribed spacer 2, and large subunit ribosomal RNA". The stretch from base 1 to 120 matches the Rfam family "5.8S ribosomal RNA", at positions 35 to 154 of the family's 154-position model. The record is from RNAcentral.